Long non-coding RNA from Gavialis gangeticus (Gharial), 573 nucleotides. RefSeq lists it as uncharacterized. NCBI's taxonomy places the organism in Eukaryota, Metazoa, Chordata, Crocodylia, Gavialidae. The transcript is spliced from 3 exons. The record is from RefSeq and is a predicted model, not a curated record.
CCCUAUCUCCAGAACAUCCCCAUACCUUCCCCACACCUAUCUUGAGUGGAGCCAGAAAAUGCUUUAGAGUGUUUAUGCCUGUGGAUCUGUAAUAUUUUACUUUUUCUUCCAGAGGAGUGACUGAAGGAGGCUGGACUAAAAGAAAGAAGGUCUUUUACUACAGUUAUCUAAUGCAUAAACCAUGAACCUUGAUGUUUGCUCUACAACUGUUGCCUUUGAGUGUUAAUCCAUAACCCUCAAUGAAGCUCAUCAUCUUAAGGACAGAGUUCACAACAAAAUUGAAAAAGCAGUCACCAGAAAUUCUUCAAACGGUAUACACUAAGCAGAAUUAAAAAUUAAAGAGUUUGGUUAAAAGUUUGCUUUAGGAAUUUUGACUAAAGUUUAACUAAAGCAAUUGUUCUUUAUACCUCACGUUUAAAAAAACUAAGCAGACUAAACAGCAAGGAGCAUCUUUCCUGGAUCAUCCCAGCCACAACAUUUCAAACCUACUAAAAAACUCAGGCUUGCACAAUGGAGCCCUUGAGUUGUCUCUGUAAUGGGAUUGAAACAAUCAAUUCAGGACAGUAGAGGUUG